Molecule: non-coding RNA, 205 nt
Organism: Camellia sinensis
Lineage: Eukaryota; Viridiplantae; Streptophyta; Magnoliopsida; Ericales; Theaceae
Source: RefSeq, a predicted model, not a curated record
AUAACGGCUCAAAGUUUGCAGCUAUUGCAGCAGAGACGCUUGAUCCUUCUCUGUGUUGGAAGGACAUAGACUGGUUAAGGUCUGUCACUAGUUUGCCAAUUCUAGUCAAAGGGGUCCUAACAGCUGAGGAUGCAAUAAAAGCUAUGGAAGUAGGGGUUGCUGGGAUUGUUGUCUCUAACCACGGAGCUCGCCAACUGGAUUAUUC